AACCUCUUACAUAUUUCACCAUCAGUUUCAAACCACUCAAUGUAUACAAUAUCAUAAAACUCCAAUGAAUAUAAGUUAAAAUUGAAACUCAACAUUCACAACAUUUUAGAACAAGAUAAAAUUCAUGAGAUAAGAAUGAAAAUAAUAUAACAUAGCAAAUACAAUCAUGCAAUUUCAAUUUAGGUCACCAUACCUUCGCCUUAGCUUUCCUUUCCUGCUCAAGUCUUCUUUGUACACNAUCUUCCUCCCCUUCUCGCCACAAUUAUAACUCCUUUAAAAGCUCACCCUAACACAUUAAAUAAAAGUGUAUUUAG
This 314-nucleotide long non-coding RNA is filed under the name Vigna radiata. RNAcentral describes it as "long non-coding RNA (VRAD_LNC008252)". Lineage: Eukaryota; Viridiplantae; Streptophyta; Magnoliopsida; Fabales; Fabaceae. The record is from RNAcentral.